Non-coding RNA from Podarcis lilfordi (Lilford's wall lizard), 69 nucleotides. Lineage: Eukaryota; Metazoa; Chordata; Lepidosauria; Squamata; Lacertidae. The record is from the annotation of a GenBank genome assembly.
GCCAUAGCUCAGGGUUAGAACGUCCGCCUCACAAGCAGAAGGUCCCAGGUUCAGUCCCUAGCUCCUCCA